GUCCACGCCCUAAACGAUGAUCACUAGCUAUUGGAAAAACGAUAUUCAGUGGCUUAGCGAAAGCGAUAAGUGAUCCACCUGGGAAGUACAGUCGCAAGAUUGAAACUCAAAGGAAUUGACGGGGGUUCGCACAAGCGGUGGAGCAUGUGGUUUAAUUCGAUGAUACGCGAGGAACCUUACCAAGGCUUAAAUGUAUUACGAAUAAGCUGGAAACAGCUUAGUCUAUACGACGUAUUACAAGGUGCUGCAUGGUUGUCUUCAGUUCGUGCUGUGAAGUGUUUGGUUAAGUCCUAUAACGAGCGCAACCCCUAUUGUUAGUUGCCAUCGGGUAAAGCCGGGGACUCUAACAAAACUGCCGGUGUAAACUGUGAGGAAGGUGGGGAUGAUGUCAAAUCAUCAUGGCCUCUAUGCCUUGGGCUACACACGUGCUACAAUGGCUGGUUACAAAGGGCAGCCACUGGGUGAUCAGGAGCUAAUCUCUAAAACCAGUCUCAGUUCGGAUUGGAGUCUGCAAUUCGACUCUAUGAAGCAGGAAUCGCUAGUAAUCGCGCAUCAGCAAUGGCG
RNAcentral lists this ribosomal RNA (564 nucleotides) under Flavobacteriales endosymbiont of Aspidiotus nerii D493. RNAcentral's name for it is "bacterial SSU rRNA". It matches the Rfam family "Bacterial small subunit ribosomal RNA", at positions 793 to 1359 of the family's 1533-position model. The record is from RNAcentral. Lineage: Bacteria; Pseudomonadati; Bacteroidota; Flavobacteriia; Flavobacteriales.